UAAUGUGAAUUGCAAAAUUCAGUGAAUCAUUCGAAUCUUCCGAACGCACCUUGCGCUCCUUGGUAUUCCGAGGAGCAUGCCUGUUUGAGUGUCAUU
RNAcentral lists this ribosomal RNA (96 nucleotides) under uncultured fungus. RNAcentral describes it as "partial 5.8S ribosomal RNA". It matches the Rfam family "5.8S ribosomal RNA", at positions 63 to 154 of the family's 154-position model. From Rfam's summary of the family: 5.8S ribosomal RNA (5.8S rRNA) is a component of the large subunit of the eukaryotic ribosome. It is transcribed by RNA polymerase I as part of the 45S precursor that also contains 18S and 28S rRNA. The record is from RNAcentral. Lineage: Eukaryota; Fungi.